ACAUACGUAGUUUCACUAAUUCAAACAAGACCCAGAUCGCGGGCAAGUCCCAGAUAGCAUUGUUAGUACACUGUAUUUAUAAAAUAAUUUUGGAAAAGGAAAUUAACAUAUAAAAUAGAAAUGUAGAAGAAACAGAAUUUUAUCCGAGCCCACUGAAUUCAUAGUGUUUCCUUAAAGAACUUAAUCCCUUCCUAAUACCCGAGGUUGUGGAUUAUUUCCUCCUAGAAUAGAACGGAUUACACACUGGUGUAACGGUACUUCAAACCCCAUUAUUUCAACGAACACAAGUUUUAAAGCUUAAAUCGUCCAUACUGACAUUCUAAGUUUACCGACUAUGUAGGUUGUUUGAAUCCGGUGGAAGUAAUAAUUUUCUCCGGUAGAAAAGCUGGCAAUCGACUGAUUUUGGGGGUGAAAGAGAGCUGGAUUUAAAUAAAAAAAAUGUUUCAUGUGUAGUUGAGUAAUGGCUCUGCUAGUUUUCUAGCGAAUGUCAUGUUAUUUGUUAGUUGGACUAAAGGCGGUUAACUUUUGCUAACUUAGAGGAUAAUUCACGCUCAAUAUUAUAUUUGAAGGACAAAGUUAAAUUUACCCUGAAAAGAUAAGGGAUAAUUUUGGUAAAAAAAAACUCCUAAGUAUGAGCAAUAGCAAACGCAUUUAGAAGUGAAACAAUUACUAUGAACAUAUUAUUUGAUUAAUAUCUUCAUAAGUAUUUACGAGAGAGAGAGAGUCCAUUGUUAUUUUAUUUUCUCUUAUUAAUUAUUAAUGUUCAUUCAAUUCUGAGGCUAGCUAACUUGGUUUAAAAAAACCAUUCUUACAAAGGAGUAAUUACGUACUAGUACAAGUAAAGAAAAGGAAAAAAAAUAUGUAGUGAUAGAAUUAUCAACUUAAACAAUUUUUUGCAAUACUACAUUAUUUAUGCUAACAAACACCACAUAUUCCUUUCUCGCAAAAUCUACAUAGGCAUAAUCACCCAGCUAGUAUAGGCGAAAAACCUAAAAUAACCUAACUGCAAAAAAAAAAAUUAAAAGUUAUGGAAUUAAAAAAAAUUACAUGUGUAAUUAAACUAAGCUAUCUAUACCAUAAUUUGUACAAAAUUGAAAUUGGUGAAUACAAAUAUUGAAUCACCAAUAUAAUACAGAGGAAAACUCUACAACCAAAAGACAAACUAAUGAAUGAAAAUUAAAUUACUAUACCUUUAACGGAUAGCAAGAGGAACUCUAAAUGCAGAAUUCAAGCCUUUCUUUUCUUGUUGUGUAGAGGAUUUGGUCCAGUGGGAACUCUCCUCUUAUCGGACUCAAAGCCUCUAGCAAACGGCGCACUCGCCUGAGGUUGAAAAACUUGAUGUUUUCUCGCCAUCGACGGACCGGAAAAUCGUGCCGCCGGUGGACGGCCGAUGGCGUG
Molecule: long non-coding RNA, 1398 nt
Filed under: Nicotiana tabacum (common tobacco)
Lineage: Eukaryota; Viridiplantae; Streptophyta; Magnoliopsida; Solanales; Solanaceae
Description: long non-coding RNA (NTAB_LNC000892)
Source: RNAcentral